ACUGCAACUUGAACUUCUUCAUGAGCGUUUACCAGUUGCUGUGCACCUUCUGCUAGGUUAGGGUUAGUAAUUUCAACCAUUUCGAUCUCUCUUUCUCUCUCUCUCUGUCUAUUAUUUAGUCUGCACAGUGCACCCCGGGCUUCUCCGAAGACUUCAUUGACGAUGAAGCCCCAUUGCGUGUGCUAAAAUGUGCCAUUCAGUGUUGCAGUUUUGUUCGAUACUUCCAAUGGCUGAUCUGUGUCAAAGCAAUGGCUAGAUCCUUAUUCCAAAUUGAUUUCCAAUCCAGUUCAUUUCUUGCCUCUCCAAUAGCUCUUUUGUAUUUUAUAUAUAAUCAGUCAAAAGAGCCUGUCAUGGAGGCAGAUAAUAAGCUUGGCUAGGUUAACGUGGAGGCUAUACUCUUUUCAAUGGUUUAGCCUCUAAAGUAAUUCGCCACAGUCACUCCUUAGCAGGAAGAAUCUGCUUGGCACUUGGGAGAGCUGCAUUAUUUUUCAAAUCGAUUGGUUUAACUGAGGAUCAGAGGUAGUUUUAUUUAUUUUUCUGUAUAAAUAAUUAGUGAGGUCCCUAUAUGUGUUGUUUAGUACUUAUUAUUCUAAGUGGGUUUCUUAUGUUGUUGAGUUGGCUUCGUGAAGCAUGAAAUUAUUAGUGUAAAUAUUUUUAGUAUGAUGAGAUUUGGUGAGAGAUGUAGGUGGGGUGGAGCCUGUGGAGGACCUUAUUGGAGAAGUGUAAUUAAGUAGUAAAGCGAGAAAGAAUGUGUUUUUCCAUGAGUAAUGCCAAAGAGGUCUUGGCUAAUUGAUAAUGAUUGUUGGAAAAGUGAGAUCGAAUGUCACCACUUGAUAUGAAUAAAUGCAUUUAAUGAAA
Molecule: long non-coding RNA, 858 nt
Organism: Macadamia integrifolia
Lineage: Eukaryota; Viridiplantae; Streptophyta; Magnoliopsida; Proteales; Proteaceae
Exons: 2
Source: RefSeq, a predicted model, not a curated record